This is a long non-coding RNA of Myotis myotis, 1831 nucleotides long. RefSeq lists it as uncharacterized. NCBI's taxonomy places the organism in Eukaryota, Metazoa, Chordata, Mammalia, Chiroptera, Vespertilionidae. The transcript is spliced from 2 exons. The record is from RefSeq and is a predicted model, not a curated record.
GAGGCAGGAGAGACUCCUGCCACUGCUGCUGCGCUCGCCUGCUGUGACCCCACGGAUGCACGAUUGGAACUGGGGAGGGACAUGGGAGGUUGGCCAGUGGGAAGGGUGUGCGGGAGGGCUCCAGGGCGUGUCCAGCCCAUCUCACUCAGUCCCAGUCAGCCAGACCCCAGCAGCAAGCUAACCUACUGGUUGGAGCAUCUGCCCCCUGGUGGUCAGUGCACAUCAUAGCAAGCAGUUGAUCAGCCUUAGCAUAUCAUUAGCCUAUUACGCUUUGAUUUGUUGAAUGGCCAAUUGGACCAGACACAUAGCAUAUUAGGCUUUUAUUAUAUAGGAUGAUAUAGAUAUGAAUGAGUAAUUAAAUAUCAAACUAUGGUCAACCUCAUUAAUUAUUAGGGAAGUGCCACUCAAAACUACAAUGAGAUACCACAUCACACAGUAGGAGAGCUAAAAUAAUAACUAUUUUAGGUGAGUAUGUGGACACACUGGAACUCACAUUGCUGGUGGAAUUGUGAAAUAUUGCAGGCACUUUAGAAAACAGUCUGGAAAUUCCUCAAAAUGUUCAACAAGGAUUUAUUAUAUGACCCAGCAGCUGCAUUCAGUAUAUCAGUUGAACUACUGUAAAAAAAUACUAUAAACUGGGUAUGUUAUAUACAACAAGAAUGUUUUCCUCAGCAGGAGGCUGGAGGUUCAAGAUGAAGGUGCCCACAAAUCUGGUGUGUGGCAAGGGCCCACCUUCUGAUUCAGGGCCAGCCCUUCUUGCUGUUUUCUCACAUGGUGGGAAGGGAAGGGAGUUUUUCUCAGGCCUGUUAUAAGGGCACUAAUCCCAUUUAUGAGCCUUCAUGACCUAAUCACCUCCCAAAGGCCAUACCUCCUAAUUACUAUCACCUUAGGGGGCAGGAUUUCAACGUAAGAAUUUUAGAGAGACAUAAUCAGACCGUGGUAGUAUAUAUCCAAGAUAAAUGAAACCUAUUUCCACACAAAAACGUGGGCAUGAAUGUUCAUAGCAGAAUUAUUCAGAAUAGCCAGAACCCGAAAAUCCAUCAACUGAUGAACAACAAAAUGUGGCACAAACAUGUAACAAAAUAUUAUUCAGCAAUAAAAAGAAAUGAAGUACUGAUACAUACUACAGAAUGAAUGAACCUUAAAAACAUAAUGCUUAAGGGUCUAUUCACAAAAGCUCACAUUUUGUAUGAUUCCAUGCAUAUGAAAUGUCCAAAAUAGGCAGAGAAAGUAGACUAAUGGUACCCCGGGCUGGGAGGAGAGGAGAAGCAGAGUAGAGGCUAAUGGCUACAGGGUUUCUAUUUGAGGUGAUAAAAUGUUUUUAGAGAAUGGUGACGGUCACACAACUGUGAAUAUCCUGAAAACUUCUGACUUAUACACUUUUUAAACGCGUUUAUACGGUAUGUGAAUUUUAUCUCAAUGAAGCACUUAUAAAAAUGACUUGUGAUGAAACCAAGAAAGAGGCUGAGGGGUAGUGCUGGUUAGUUGUGGGGCUGAAAUAAAAUAUUGUGAUCUGUUCAUUUCUUGCCUAUGCAGGUGCUCCUUCCAUGCACUCCUCCAAUUCCUUCAGAGCAUCUUGAGACUGAUUUCUACAGAAAAUAUUCUGCCCAUCACCAGAAAGUCUAGUUCAGCUGCAAGAUGCUGAUGAUACAAAAAGCAUACAGAAAAUGAGGGAUGCAAGAUGCCUUUCUUCUGGCUCACACCAGCUCCAGGCAAACCCUCCCCAAGAAAGAUGGCAGACAGAAUAACCUCUGCUAUUUACCUUAUUCUUCUUUUUACUUCUUUCAGUGUACAGAUAAAUACACAUAAAUUAAAGGCCCAAAUGCUGUGA